GUGGGGAAUCUUGCGCAAUGGGCGAAAGCCUGACGCAGCCAUGCCGCGUGAAUGAUGAAGGUCUUAGGAUUGUAAAAUUCUUUCACCGGGGACGAUAAUGACGGUACCCGGAGAAGAAGCCCCGGCUAACUUCGUGCCAGCAGCCGCGGUAAUACGAAGGGGGCUAGCGUUGCUCGGUAUUACUGGGCGUAAAGGGCGCGUAGGCGGACAGUUUAGUCAGAGGUGAAAGCCCAGGGCUCAACCUUGGAAUUGCCUUUGAUACUGGCUGUCUUGAGUACGGGAGAGGUGAGUGGAACUCCGAGUGUAGAGGUGAAAUUCGUAGAUAUUCGGAAGAACACCAGUGGCGAAGGCGACUCACUGGCCCGUUACUGACGCUGAGGCGCGAAAGCGUGGGGAGCAAACAGGAUUAGAUACCCGGGUAGUCC
Molecule: ribosomal RNA, 425 nt
Filed under: uncultured bacterium
Lineage: Bacteria
Description: partial 16S ribosomal RNA
Rfam family: Bacterial small subunit ribosomal RNA
Source: RNAcentral